CCUACGGGGUGCAGCAGUGAGGAAUAUUGGUCAAUGGACGAGAGUCUGAACCAGCCAAGUAGCGUGAAGGAUGACUGCCCUAUGGGUUGUAAACUUCUUUUAUAAAGGAAUAAAACGAGGCACGUGUGCCUUUUUGCAUGUACUUUAUGAAUAAGGAUCGGCUAACUUCGUGCCAGCAGCCGCGGUAAUACGGAGGAUCCGAGCGUUAUCCGGAUUUAUUGGGUUUAAAGGGAGCGUAGAUGGGUUGUUAAGUCAGUUGUGAAAGUUUGCGGCUCAACCGUAAAAUUGCAAUUGAUACUGGCAGUCGUGAGUACAGUUGAGGUAGGCGGAAUUCGUGGUGUAGCGGUGAAAUGCUUAGAUAUCACGAAGAACCCCGAUUGCGAAGGCAGCUUACUAAACUGUGACUGACAUUGAUGCUCGAAAGUGUGGGUAUCAAACAGGAUUAGAUACCCGUGUAGUC
RNAcentral lists this ribosomal RNA (460 nucleotides) under uncultured bacterium. RNAcentral's name for it is "partial 16S ribosomal RNA". It matches the Rfam family "Bacterial small subunit ribosomal RNA", at positions 338 to 795 of the family's 1533-position model. The record is from RNAcentral.